This 525-nucleotide ribosomal RNA is filed under the name Streptococcus agalactiae str. Gottschalk 1003A. Its description in RNAcentral is "bacterial SSU rRNA". It matches the Rfam family "Bacterial small subunit ribosomal RNA", at positions 1 to 511 of the family's 1533-position model. The record is from RNAcentral. Lineage: Bacteria; Bacillati; Bacillota; Bacilli; Lactobacillales; Streptococcaceae.
AAUGAGAGUUUGAUCCUGGCUCAGGACGAACGCUGGCGGCGUGCCUAAUACAUGCAAGUAGAACGCUGAGGUUUGGUGUUUACACUAGACUGAUGAGUUGCGAACGGGUGAGUAACGCGUAGGUAACCUGCCUCAUAGCGGGGGAUAACUAUUGGAAACGAUAGCUAAUACCGCAUAAGAGUAAUUAACACAUGUUAGUUAUUUAAAAGGAGCAAUUGCUUCACUGUGAGAUGGACCUGCGUUGUAUUAGCUAGUUGGUGAGGUAAAGGCUCACCAAGGCGACGAUACAUAGCCGACCUGAGAGGGUGAUCGGCCACACUGGGACUGAGACACGGCCCAGACUCCUACGGGAGGCAGCAGUAGGGAAUCUUCGGCAAUGGACGGAAGUCUGACCGAGCAACGCCGCGUGAGUGAAGAAGGUUUUCGGAUCGUAAAGCUCUGUUGUUAGAGAAGAACGUUGGUAGGAGUGGAAAAUCUACCAAGUGACGGUAACUAACCAGAAAGGGACGGCUAACUACGUGCCAG